GCAUUGGUGGUAUAGUGGUGAGCAUAGCUUCCUUCCAAGCAGUUGACCCGGGUUCGAUUCCAGGCCAAUGGCA
This 73-nucleotide transfer RNA is filed under the name Ameiurus melas (black bullhead). RNAcentral's name for it is "tRNA-Gly". It matches the Rfam family "tRNA". From Rfam's summary of the family: Transfer RNA (tRNA) molecules are approximately 80 nucleotides in length. Their secondary structure includes four short double-helical elements and three loops (D, anti-codon, and T loops). Lineage: Eukaryota; Metazoa; Chordata; Actinopteri; Siluriformes; Ictaluridae. The record is from RNAcentral.